AACGAACGCUGGCGGCAGGCCUAACACAUGCAAGUCGAGCGAACCUUCGGGUUAGCGGCGGACGGGUUAGUAACGCGUGGGAACGUGCCCUUCUCUACGGAAUAGCCCAGGGAAACUUGGAUUAAUACGGUAUACGCCCUUUGGGGGAAAGAUUUAUCGGGGAUGGAUGAGCCCGCGUUUGAUUAGCUAGUUGGUGGGGUAAUGGCCUACCAAGGCGACGAUCAAUAGCUGGUCUGAGAGGAUGAUCAGCCACACUGGGACUGAGACACGGCCCAGACUCCUACGGGAGGCAGCAGUGGGGAAUAUUGGACAAUGGGCGCAAGCCUGAUCCAGCCAUGCCGCGUGAGUGAUGAAGGCCCUAGGGUGGUAAAGCUCUUUCAACGGUGAAGAUAAUGACGGUAGCCGUAGAAGAAGCCCCGGCUAACUUCGUGCCAGCAGCCGCGGUAAUACGAAGGGGGCGAGCGUUGUUCGGAAUUACUGGGCGUAAAGCGCACGUAGGCGGAUUGAUCAGUUGGGGGUGAAAUCCCAGGGCUCAACCCUGGAACUGCCUUCAAUACUG
Molecule: ribosomal RNA, 559 nt
Filed under: uncultured bacterium
Lineage: Bacteria
Description: bacterial SSU rRNA
Rfam family: Bacterial small subunit ribosomal RNA
Source: RNAcentral